AACGGGAAAUAUUUUAUUGAAACUUCGGUGGAUUUAAUUUAUUUCUAGUGGCGGACGGGUGAGUAACGCGUGGGUAACCUGCCUUAUACUGGGGGAUAACAGCCGGAAAUGGCUGCUAAUACCGCAUAAGCGCACAGGACCGCAUGGUCUGGUGUGAAAAACUCCGGUGGUAUAAGAUGGACCCGCGUUGGAUUAGCUAGUUGGCAGGGCAGCGGCCUACCAAGGCGACGAUCCAUAGCCGGCCUGAGAGGGUGAACGGCCACAUUGGGACUGAGACACGGCCCAGACUCCUACGGGAGGCAGCAGUGGGGAAUAUUGCACAAUGGGGGAAACCCUGAUGCAGCGACGCCGCGUGAAGGAAGAAGUAUCUCGGUAUGUAAACUUCUAUCAGCAGGGAAGAUAAUGACGGUACCUGACUAAGAAGCCCCGGCUAACUACGUGCCAGCAGCCGCGGUAAUACGUAGGGGGCAAGCGUUAUCCGGAUUUACUGGGUGUAAAGGGAGCGUAGACGGCGCAGCAAGUCUGAUGUGAAAGGCAGGGGCUUAACCCCUGGACUGCAUUGGAAACUGUUGAGCUUGAGUGCCGGAGGGGUAAGCGGAAUUCCUAGUGUAGCGGUGAAAUGCGUAGAUAUUAGGAGGAACACCAGUGGCG
RNAcentral lists this ribosomal RNA (651 nucleotides) under uncultured Lachnospiraceae bacterium. RNAcentral's name for it is "bacterial SSU rRNA". It matches the Rfam family "Bacterial small subunit ribosomal RNA", at positions 65 to 717 of the family's 1533-position model. Lineage: Bacteria; Bacillati; Bacillota; Clostridia; Lachnospirales; Lachnospiraceae. The record is from RNAcentral.